Molecule: long non-coding RNA, 535 nt
Filed under: Phoenix dactylifera (date palm)
Lineage: Eukaryota; Viridiplantae; Streptophyta; Magnoliopsida; Arecales; Arecaceae
Description: long non-coding RNA (PDAC_LNC022289)
Source: RNAcentral
UUUGCUACUAAUUAUUAGAGUGUGAUUUAUACAUACAUCUUCCGUAUCAUUGGAGUGGGCUAAGAAAGAUUUUUCGUAGUAUUAGUGCAGAAUGUUUUCGAGGUUAAAUCUGUAUGGAGAUUAUAUUUGGAUUUGACAUGUUUGAAUAUUGUAAAUCGGCAUAUUUCUAUUAGUGGAUUAAAUUCUUAAGGCCAUAUAGUAUGCAAAUUGGUGGAGUAUUCUAAUUAUUUGAAUUUGUAUAUUUGGAUUGGGCUACUAAAUUUUUCUUAUAAUUGUUGGAGACCAUUGGAUGUGUUAACUUGAACUCAAGUCAAGGUUUAUAACCUAACUAGAAAUCUUUGUCAUUGUAAAAUACAAAAUUGAGUAGAAAUUUCGAUUUUGAGAUGCUUAUGUGAGUUAUCAUGGGUAGCAUUAAUCAUAGACAUUAAGAAUUUUGGUAAAGAAGGAUUUGGAAGUUGAUAGAGUUAAUUCCUACUCAUAGUGAUACUGGCUCAACAGUUCUAACCCAUUGAGUUUGAGGUAAAUUCUGUUGGAA